RNAcentral lists this ribosomal RNA (389 nucleotides) under uncultured bacterium. RNAcentral's name for it is "bacterial SSU rRNA". It matches the Rfam family "Bacterial small subunit ribosomal RNA", at positions 28 to 416 of the family's 1533-position model. The record is from RNAcentral.
GACGAACGCUGGCGGCGUGCUUAACACAUGCAAGUCGAGCGGUAAGGCCCUUUCGGGGGUACACGAGCGGCGAACGGGUGAGUAACACGUGGGUGACCUGCCCUCAGCUCUGGGAUAAGCCCGGGAAACUGGGUCUAAUACUGGAUAUGACUCCAUGACGCAUGUUGUGGGGUGGAAAGCCUUGUGCGGCUGGGGAUGGGCCCGCGGCCUAUCAGCUUGUUGGUGGGGUGAUGGCCUACCAAGGCGACGACGGGUAGCCGGCCUGAGAGGGCGACCGGCCACACUGGGACUGAGACACGGCCCAGACUCCGUACGGGAGGCAGCAGGUGGGGAAUCUUGCGCAAUGGGCGAAAGCCUGACGCAGCGACGCCGCGUGAGGGAUGACGGCC